RNAcentral lists this long non-coding RNA (2380 nucleotides) under Gallus gallus (chicken). Its description in RNAcentral is "lncRNA (ENSGALG00010026989.1)". Lineage: Eukaryota; Metazoa; Chordata; Aves; Galliformes; Phasianidae. The record is from RNAcentral.
AAUGCCCCGUUCUGGGGAGAAGAGGCAGGGGCUGCUCGGUUCCACACGCCCCCCCCUUCCUGGUAUGCUUCUCAUGAUGAGGAGAGUGACUGCUUCAGAAGAAAAAAAAAUACAUCAAACGUUUCAUCAUUGUUGUUCAAAACAAAGUACAAAGAUGAAGGCAGAAAGCAUAUGUCAUUUGAAAGAUCUGUCUCCUCUUCUUGGAAUUCGUUAUUCUCUGCAAACAAAACAAGCUUGCAAUUGGAAAUACAGCAGUGCUCCAGUUCAAGCACUGCUUAGAAAGUGCUUGUUAUUUGUUUCUGCUGGUAGCUACAAAACUGUGGUGUACACAGUAGCCCCUUUCCAGGAGAAAACUCUCUCUUUUGCUAACACACGCAAGAGCUAAUUCUGUUUUAACAUCUGAGAUAUCAGUAAUACUUUCCUACAUUAAAAAAAAUGGCAUAAAAUUAUUUCAACAAGCAAUUGCAAAAGGUUGGUUUUUUUUUUUUUUACCCAUUAGUUUCAAGAGAACCGUGUAGCAUCUGUUUACUGCUAUGAAACAGUUCUAACAAUAACUAACACAGUGUGUUUCACAGCAGCCUGCAGACGUCCUUCUCACAGAGCAGGCCUUCCUGCAAGGCUUCAGUGCAGCCCUUCAUGUCUGGGAGGGUCAGUCCCAGGGUAGCAGCACUUUUAAGACGUUUGGCAGCAGUCUGCUUUGCUCCAGCAGUGAGCCGCCAACCACUGCGCGCUGCAAGCCCUCAGGGCUCCACCUAGAUUCCGGCUUCUCACUUUGCAAAAGAUCCGUUAGGAUUGAGCAACGGAGUCCCCCAGGCUUCCAGUAGGGUUUAGGCUCCUGAGGAUGUUUGCAGUCUACAAUGCCAGCAUUCAAAGUUAGACUUGCUCUUGAAGCAAUUCAAACCCAAAUGCUCUGAUGCAUGCAAGAUUUACUCCCUAUCUCACCGAUCUCAGCAGCAGUCCCAGCCUGCAGAUGUUGCAGACUGUGAGUCUUUCUGUGACGGGAUUUCAGCCAGCCCUCUGCAACCUGCAUUUGGGGACACUGUGCAGGAGCAGGGCUGAGCCCACCCCACGCACACCGCAUGGAGGAGAGACCACUGCGGCACUGCAGACGGUGGGUGUUGGAUUGCAUGCACACCAGCAGCUCCUUUUGCAAAUUGGAGGAUGCAAAGCGUGCAUGGAAAUGUACACAGUGUCCUUUCCUCAGCUGCAGACCUGUUUCUCUGGAAGACUUCUACAGCACCGUCUGCAAAGCCAACUUCAUGAGCAUAGGCCUGUGUGCAAUUUGACUGAAUAUCUCUGAAAGUUUGACCUGGAUGUGUUACUAUUUGUUCCUAGUUCAGAAAAGUACUUGGUUAGUAUGUCUACAUGUAAGUUACUUCUAAAUCUGGUCUUGAAAUGCAGCUUGCUUGUGCCAGGGCCUUGAUGCUACCCAUAAUCAUUGACAUUCACUCUGUAUUACUUAUAGAUAGCUAAUAUGUUCCUCGUCUUCUGACCUGUAUUUUUUCAGUAAGUUGUGAAUGUGCAUAUUUAGCCCUAGAAUCAAAGAGGGUAGAUGCCACAUUUAAAAAGCCCCCUAAUUAUAAUUUUCUGUAAAUACACAAUCCAUGCUAAUUUGUAUACUAAGGCAGUGGAGGAGAAAGGUAGGCUAUAUUCACUUUCCGCAGUAAUUUUCUAUUCCGAGUAACUUAAUAUUUACUCAAACGUACUUCAAUUUAUCAUUCUUCUGUCUAGAGAAAAGUGUGUCAUCUAUAGGCUAGUAAAAGUUCCUCCAGUAAUAAACCAUGUCUCUAAAAGGCAUGUGGAUUUUUUUUAGCAAUUUUCACCUAAGGAUUCAGGAUUUAUUAUGCUUUCAUUUUCACCUAAGGAUUCAGGAUUUGUUAUGCUUUCCAUGUACUUUCUUUCAAAACAACUUGUCAUACUUUUUAUAGAAAAGUGAGCAUUUUAUUUUGCUUGUGAGGUGAGUAUAUAUUUCUGCAGAGAGUUCAAAGAAUUGUGCUAUUCCAAUACCGUGAUGUGGUUAUAUAUACAUUUGAGUUAGCUUAUCACACACCAUUAGCAAGACUGCCACACAGAAAAGACAGAACAACUUCAAAAUAAGUCUUUGGAGUGAGAUAUAGAAUUGCAGCUUUGAGUCUAUCAUAAUUUUCUACCUUAUUCAUAUUUGAAAGAAAAUGAGGCAUAAUAAUCAACAGCUUACUCAGUUUACUGCAAUAUUUUAUGUAACAUAUGGUGAGACUGCGUACCGAACUCUAUAUUAAAAUAGCAUUUAUAAGAACUGUUAUCCUGCCAAAAUGAAAGGAAAACAGCCUCCCGGUUUCAUGUUAUUGAAAUCAAUAUCAAUAACGUCUCUACUUUCCAACUUCUGAAUCAUAUAAAGUAU